This 395-nucleotide ribosomal RNA is filed under the name uncultured bacterium. RNAcentral describes it as "partial 16S ribosomal RNA". It matches the Rfam family "Bacterial small subunit ribosomal RNA", at positions 523 to 918 of the family's 1533-position model. The record is from RNAcentral.
AUACGUAGGGUGCAAGCGUUAAUCGGAAUUACUGGGCGUAAAGCGUGCGCAGGCGGUUUUGUAAGACAGAGGUGAAAUCCCCGGGCUCAACCUGGGAACUGCCUUUGUGACUGCAAGGCUAGAGUACGGCAGAGGGGGGUGGAAUUCCGGGUGUAGCGGUGAAAUGCGUAGAUAUGCGGAGGAACACCGAUGGCGAAGGCAAUCCCCUGGGCCUGUACUGACGCUCAUGCACGAAAGCGUGGGGAGCAAACAGGAUUAGAUACCCUGGUAGUCCACGCCCUAAACGAUGUCAACUGGUUGUUGGGUCUUCAUUGACUCAGUAACGAAGCUAACGCGUGAAGUUGACCGCCUGGGGAGUACGGCCGCAAGGUUGAAACUCAAAUGAAUUGGCGGGG